CUGAUGGAUGGCAGCACACAUAGUAAAAUUGGAACGAUACAGAGAACAUUAGCAUGGUCACUGCACAAGGAUGACAUGCAAAUUUGUUCCAUAUUUUA
Molecule: small nuclear RNA, 98 nt
Filed under: Aptenodytes forsteri (emperor penguin)
Lineage: Eukaryota; Metazoa; Chordata; Aves; Sphenisciformes; Spheniscidae
Source: RNAcentral